UACAGAGGGCUCAAGCGUUGUUCGGAUUCAUUGGGCGUAAAGGGCGCGUAGGUGGCGCGGUAAGUCAGGUGUGAAAUUUCGGAGCUUAACUCCGAAACUGCAUUUGAUACUGGCGUGCUUGAGGACUGGAGAGGAGACUGGAAUUCAUGGUGUAGCAGUGAAAUGCGUAGAGAUCAUGAGGAAGACCAGUGGCGAAGGCGGGUCUCUGGACAGUUCCUGACACUGAGGCACGAAGGCCAGGGGAGCAAACGGG
RNAcentral lists this ribosomal RNA (253 nucleotides) under uncultured bacterium. RNAcentral's name for it is "partial 16S ribosomal RNA". It matches the Rfam family "Bacterial small subunit ribosomal RNA", at positions 524 to 776 of the family's 1533-position model. The record is from RNAcentral.